RNAcentral lists this small RNA (131 nucleotides) under Marmota monax (woodchuck). Lineage: Eukaryota; Metazoa; Chordata; Mammalia; Rodentia; Sciuridae. The record is from RNAcentral.
GCUGGGCACAGUGGCGCGCGCCUGUAAUCCCAGUGCCGCGGGAGGCAGAGGCAGAGGCAGGAGGAUUGCGAGUUCAAAGCCAGCCUCAGCAACAGCAAGGCACUCAGCAACUCAGUGAGAUCCUGUCUCUA